Molecule: long non-coding RNA, 208 nt
Filed under: Nicotiana benthamiana
Lineage: Eukaryota; Viridiplantae; Streptophyta; Magnoliopsida; Solanales; Solanaceae
Description: long non-coding RNA (NBEN_LNC040264)
Source: RNAcentral
UUUGACCAAGUGCUCGAUCGCGUCCACACAGUCAUCCAUAAAAUGCUCCUAGCCUACUCUAGUCCUAAACUAUCUUUGCACGUUGGGGUUCAGUGUAGUAGGUCUUUAUCUAUGAAGCUCCUCUACAGAAUAAAAUUUCUCACCGGCUACCACACCCGAAACUUUUGGUACGCCACCUCACUCACAAAUCUGUCCUCCCAAGCCUCAG